UGCGCCUGUGGCGGGUCCGGCACAAAAUAUUAUAUUUUUUUAAACUUUAAAAAAAUAUACUUCGCAGGCAGUUAUUUUGUGUACGAUCUUGUACAUUCCAAUAAUUAAUUGGAAUUUAACUCCUUCU
This 127-nucleotide small RNA is filed under the name bovine gut metagenome. RNAcentral describes it as "RT-5 RNA". It matches the Rfam family "RT-5 RNA". Rfam says of the family: Clostridium (Firmicutes). Environment (Cow rumen (57)) The record is from RNAcentral.